UUUUCAAUGUAAGUAUGUCCUAUGCAAUAUUUGGGACAUACUUAUAUAAAA
Molecule: microRNA precursor, 51 nt
Filed under: Pan paniscus (pygmy chimpanzee)
Lineage: Eukaryota; Metazoa; Chordata; Mammalia; Primates; Hominidae
Also listed under: 1 other name
Description: mir-1302 microRNA precursor family
Rfam family: mir-1302 microRNA precursor family
Source: Rfam by way of RNAcentral